Molecule: ribosomal RNA, 250 nt
Filed under: uncultured bacterium
Lineage: Bacteria
Description: partial 16S ribosomal RNA
Rfam family: Bacterial small subunit ribosomal RNA
Source: RNAcentral
UACGUAGGGGGCGAGCGUUGUCCGGAAUUACUGGGCGUAAAGGGCGUGUAGGCGGUUAAAUAAGUCAGAUGUGAAAACUGCGGGCUCAACCCGGAGAGUGCAUCUGAAACUGUAUAACUUGAGGGUAAGAGAGGAAAGUGGAAUUCCUAGUGUAGCGGUGAAAUGCGUAGAUAUUAGGAGGAACACCAGUGGCGAAGGCGACUUUCUGGCUUAACCCUGACGCUGAGGCGCGAAAGCGUGGGGAGCAAAC